GACAAGAUGGCCGAGUGGUCUAAGGCGGCAGAUUUAAGUUCUGGAAACAAGAAAUAAAUCCAAGACUCUGCUAGUGGAAACACUGCGUGGGUUCGAACCCCACUCUUGUCA
Non-coding RNA from Ascosphaera acerosa, 111 nucleotides. The record is from the annotation of a GenBank genome assembly. Lineage: Eukaryota; Fungi; Ascomycota; Eurotiomycetes; Onygenales; Ascosphaeraceae.